RNAcentral lists this ribosomal RNA (591 nucleotides) under uncultured bacterium. Its description in RNAcentral is "bacterial SSU rRNA". It matches the Rfam family "Bacterial small subunit ribosomal RNA", at positions 922 to 1510 of the family's 1533-position model. The record is from RNAcentral.
CGCACAAGCGGUGGAGCAUGUGGUUUAAUUCGAUGCAACGCGAAGAACCUUACCUGGGCUUGACAUCCCGGGAAUCUCCCGGAAACGGGAGAGUGCCCUUCGGGGAACCCGGUGACAGGUGCUGCAUGGCUGUCGUCAGCUCGUGUCGUGAGAUGUUGGGUUAAGUCCCGCAACGAGCGCAACCCUUGUCUUUAAUUGCCAUCAUUAAGCUGGGCACUUUAAAGAGACUGCCGGUGUCAAACCGGAGGAAGGUGGGGAUGACGUCAAGUCAGCAUGGCCUUUAUGUCCAGGGCUACACACGUGCUACAAUGGGUGGCACAAAGAGCGGCGACCAUGCGAGUGGAAGCAAAUCUCAAAAAACCACCCUCAGUUCGGAUUGGAGUCUGCAACUCGACUCCAUGAAGUUGGAAUCGCUAGUAAUCGCGGAUCAGCACGCCGCGGUGAAUACGUUCCCGGGCCUUGUACACACCGCCCGUCACACCCGGAAAGUUGACUGCACCAGAAGUCGUUGGGCUAACCCGUAAGGGAGGCAGGCGCCGACGGUGUGGUUGGCGAUUGGGGUGAAGUCGUAACAAGGUAACCAAGGGCGAA